This 806-nucleotide ribosomal RNA is filed under the name uncultured Mycobacterium sp. RNAcentral describes it as "bacterial SSU rRNA". It matches the Rfam family "Bacterial small subunit ribosomal RNA", at positions 539 to 1343 of the family's 1533-position model. Lineage: Bacteria; Bacillati; Actinomycetota; Actinomycetes; Mycobacteriales; Mycobacteriaceae. The record is from RNAcentral.
CGUUGUCCGGAAUUACUGGGCGUAAAGAGCUCGUAGGUGGUUUGUCGCGUUGUUCGUGAAAUCUCACGGCUUAACUGUGAGCGUGCGGGCGAUACGGGCAGACUUGAGUACUGCAGGGGAGACUGGAAUUCCUGGUGUAGCGGUGGAAUGCGCAGAUAUCAGGAGGAACACCGGUGGCGAAGGCGGGUCUCUGGGCAGUAACUGACGCUGAGGAGCGAAAGCGUGGGGAGCGAACAGGAUUAGAUACCCUGGUAGUCCACGCCGUAAACGGUGGGUACUAGGUGUGGGUUUCCUUCCUUGGGAUCCGUGUCGUAGCUAACGCAUUAAGUACCCCGCCUGGGGAGUACGGCCGCAAGGCUAAAACUCAAAGAAAUUGACGGGGGCCCGCACAAGCGGCGGAGCAUGUGGAUUAAUUCGAUGCAACGCGAAGAACCUUACCUGGGUUUGACAUGCACAGGACGCCGGCAGAGAUGUCGGUUCCCUUGUGGCCUGUGUGCAGGUGGUGCAUGGCUGUCGUCAGCUCGUGUCGUGAGAUGUUGGGUUAAGUCCCGCAACGAGCGCAACCCUUGUCUCAUGUUGCCAGCGGGUAAUGCCGGGGACUCGUGAGAGACUGCCGGGGUCAACUCGGAGGAAGGUGGGGAUGACGUCAAGUCAUCAUGCCCCUUAUGUCCAGGGCUUCACACAUGCUACAAUGGCCGGUACAAAGGGCUGCGAUGCCGCGAGGUUAAGCGAAUCCUUUUAAAGCCGGUCUCAGUUCGGAUCGGGGUCUGCAACUCGACCCCGUGAAGUCGGAGUCGCUAGUAAUC